This 69-nucleotide transfer RNA is filed under the name Clostridia bacterium. Its description in RNAcentral is "tRNA-Phe". It matches the Rfam family "tRNA". From Rfam's summary of the family: Transfer RNA (tRNA) molecules are approximately 80 nucleotides in length. Their secondary structure includes four short double-helical elements and three loops (D, anti-codon, and T loops). Further hydrogen bonds mediate the characteristic L-shaped molecular structure. tRNAs have two regions of fundamental functional importance: the anti-codon, which is responsible for specific mRNA codon recognition, and the 3' end, to which the tRNAs corresponding amino acid is attached (by aminoacyl-tRNA synthetases). tRNAs cope with the degeneracy of the genetic code in two manners: having more than one tRNA (with a specific anti-codon) for a particular amino acid; and 'wobble' base-pairing, i.e. permitting non-standard base-pairing at the 3rd anti-codon position. The record is from RNAcentral. Lineage: Bacteria; Bacillati; Bacillota; Clostridia.
GUAGUUCAGCGGUAGAAUAGGGGACGAAAGAUCCCGGUGUCGCAGGUUCGAUCCCUGCCGGGGGCACCA